This 63-nucleotide transfer RNA is filed under the name Dendrocerus sp. ZJUH_2016009. RNAcentral describes it as "tRNA-Leu". The record is from RNAcentral. Lineage: Eukaryota; Metazoa; Arthropoda; Insecta; Hymenoptera; Megaspilidae.
UCUAAAAUGGCAGAAUAAUGCAAUAGACUUAAACCCUAUGUAUAAAUUUAUAUUUUUUUAGAA